This 395-nucleotide long non-coding RNA is filed under the name Musa acuminata (dwarf banana). Its description in RNAcentral is "long non-coding RNA (MACU_LNC006748)". Lineage: Eukaryota; Viridiplantae; Streptophyta; Magnoliopsida; Zingiberales; Musaceae. The record is from RNAcentral.
CCGAGAUGUAGCUCAUCUUCCGCGCCAGGCUCGCGUCCAGCGCCCCGAUCCUUGACAGCCACAGGAAGUGGUCGAAGAAGAAGUACACCAUCUCGCCGGCGUUGGCGAACACCGCGAGGAAGCGGAGGAGAGGCGUGGACCCGGGGCUGCGGCGGAGGGUGUUGAAGCCGGUGAGGAAGCGGCCGGAGCGGAAGGCCUUGCGGCUGAGCCCGGAGGCCACCUCCCAGCUCUUGGCCCUGCCGGCGAGGCCCGGGUGGGCGGACUCGGCGUGCCAGUGCGCCAGCUUCGAGACGUACUGGAAGGUCUUGACGAGCUUGUCGAUCCCGUCUCGCUUCGCGAGGAAGACGACCAGCUUGUCGACGGUGUCGCUCAUGGCGUCGACGGCAGGGAAGGAC